This 166-nucleotide unclassified non-coding RNA is filed under the name soil metagenome. RNAcentral's name for it is "partial contains 5.8S ribosomal RNA, internal transcribed spacer 2, and large subunit ribosomal RNA". The record is from RNAcentral.
AACGCACGAGACCUGCGGACCUGCGGAGGGAUCAUUAGUGAACGCCCUCACAGGCUUAUAACUAUUCCAAACCUCUGUGAACCGUGCCCUUCGGGGCUAUUUUACAAACAUGGUGUAAUGAACGUCAUAUAUCAUAACAAAACAAAACUUUUAACAACGGAUCUCU